Long non-coding RNA from Gallus gallus (chicken), 2263 nucleotides. NCBI's taxonomy places the organism in Eukaryota, Metazoa, Chordata, Aves, Galliformes, Phasianidae. The record is from Ensembl.
AUCCAACCUAAAUCUUCCCCAUCACUAUUUACACAUGUAAAAAGUUGGUUUCCUUCCUCUUUAUAAUCUCCCUUUAAAUACUGGAAGGCUGUAAUGAGGUCUCCCCACAGCCUUCUCUUUUCCAUGCUGAACAAAGCCAGUUCUUCCAGCCCUCUGAUAAUCUCCGUGGCCUUCCUCUGGACUCUCUCCAAAAGCUCCAAGUCUUUCCCGUGCUGGGAGCCCCAGACCUGGACACAAUACUCCAGCUGGAGCCUCUCAUUCAGGAAGCAUCAAGCUUUUGUACUUAUGUAUGGAGAGUGAAAGAACUGUGCCCUUCUACAGCAGGUUUGCAUCACAGGAAGAACAGAUGUGGACCUACUGAGCACUCCAGUAGCAUCUGCAUGCACACCACGGCCAGGUGGAAUUUUCCAGGACACAGCCCAUCUACGCAGCAUCUUCCGACUUAGCUUGCGUGGACAGAUUGGUUUUCAGCUGAUGGCUGUUGGGUGCAGUGCUUUCUGGAAGGCAGUGGAGAUGCACCGUACCGCUCUCUACUUGCUCAUUAGGAAAGUCCAGGCAGAAAUUUCACAGCCACAAAGUGAGUUCAAAUCUGGCAUCCCACCAUGGUGUAGGUGCUCAUUACCAGGGGUGAAGACAGCUUGGUGUUUUGAUGGGCUACAUCUCUUAGCUGAUUGAUUUGAACCAGCUCAAAGGCUGCAUAAAGCAUUAGGUGAACUCUGGCUUUCGCAUCUCAUUCGGUUACUCCUACAGUGAGCACAGAACCCAUGCCUGGCUGUAAUAUGUCUCUCAAGAAUGCACCCGAAUACUUAAGAAGGCAGAGAAAACCCUACUUUCCUUUGGAAGCGUGUUCCUCUGUUAUUAAUUAGUAUUACUCUUUGGUUGUAAAACUUCACAAAAUUUUCAAUCACCAAUGAUAAAAUUCUGCUGAAACCGGUAACCACUUAAGCAAAUCCGACUUGGCAGGUCAGUGAUCUGUCUGGAAGGAUGUGAUGGUCUCAAGCCACUGUGGUACAUGCCAUCAAGAAAAAAAUUCUCCCCCUUUCCCAUGCAUGGCAAUAACUGGCAGCCUCUUUGGGUGACCUCAGCAGAGAAGACCGAUUGUGUUUGUAGAAUUCACCACCACCUUAAGAUUUCUGGGCAGGUCAAGGUGCCAGGCUGCUGGUAACUUAAUUACCUCAUAACUUCAGGAUUCUGCUUUCCUUUACCAUUCAGUAACUGGACAGGAACUGAAAGAAAUGCACAGCAGUAGACAACAACUAAGGUACAGUUGGAUCAUAGAAGCUGACAGGUAAUGGUGAAGGGAGUACCAGAUACUUUUUGUAAUAUUUCUUUUGAGAAAUAAAUUUACAAGGAGAACUUUCAGGAAUGUGGCUGUGUUCACAAAGAAGACAGCUUGUGCAAAGACCUGCAGAAGUUACACAUUUGUUUAACUUGAAAGGGAACAAGCCAAGGGCUUAAAUUCAGUCACACAAUGCACAUGUCUUGCCAGGCAUCAGGACCUUGCCGAUGGCAUAAGUUAAGCACAUAUACAGCAUUUUACAUGAUCUGUGCUAUGGGGAUCCUAACAACUCAUUUCAAAAUACUGCAUCUAGACAAAGGCCUCAGGUAUCUUGACAUUUUUUUUUUUAAAUGGUCUCUAGUCAAUCAAUUAUUUAAUACUGAUACUGGAGAUGCGCUGCAUCUGGCCCAGUUAGGUACUUUUUCCACUUCCAUUAGGCAUCAAAACUGAUUAUAUAAAGAAAAGAGAAGAAAAAAAAAGAGUUUCAGAAUAGAUAUGCAAGAGAAUUUGUUGGGGGAGUGCAGGAAAGUAGGUUAGUCGACUUCUAUUUGCUGUAUUGUUUCCAGAAACAAUGAAACACAAAGUGUAUGUUUCUCUUGAGAGUUCUCAGACACUAAACAGCUGAAUGGCAAGUCUGGGAGCCACAAAGGUACUUAAGUGCUUAUAGUUUAAGGGAGGUAGUUCACAGAGUACUUCAGGCAUCUGGGAGAGUAUGUCCCUCCUCCUCUCACAAGAAGUUUGUGGCAGAACAGAGACUAGAUAUCAAAUUUCUCCAAUUGUAAGUUGCCUUACGUGUCAGCUUUACUUUCACACUCACUUGGCUAACGGAAAAUGUUCCCGUUUGUAAUGGGCUUUGUUAAAGCUCUGAAGUGGUCACUCUGAGUGGGAAUAACUGCAGUGGAGAGGAACAGGACACAACCGUGUUUCUGAGGAUGUCCAGUCGUGGGUACUUGUCACUGUCAAAAUAAAAUAAAUGAAUGCUAU